GCAUUGGUGGUGUAGUGGUAACAUUGGGUCUUCCCAUGGCCCAGCGCCGGGUUCGAUUCCCGGCCAAUGCA
RNAcentral lists this transfer RNA (71 nucleotides) under Gloeophyllum trabeum ATCC 11539. RNAcentral describes it as "tRNA-Gly (CCC) (tRNA-Gly-CCC-1-1)". It matches the Rfam family "tRNA". Rfam says of the family: Transfer RNA (tRNA) molecules are approximately 80 nucleotides in length. Their secondary structure includes four short double-helical elements and three loops (D, anti-codon, and T loops). The record is from RNAcentral. Lineage: Eukaryota; Fungi; Basidiomycota; Agaricomycetes; Gloeophyllales; Gloeophyllaceae.